This is a non-coding RNA of Potamilus streckersoni, 78 nucleotides long. Lineage: Eukaryota; Metazoa; Mollusca; Bivalvia; Unionida; Unionidae. The record is from the annotation of a GenBank genome assembly.
GCUUCGGUGGCUUAGUGGUUAGAGUGUCCGCCUCGGAUGCGGAAGGUCGUGAGUUUGAUCCCUGGCUGAUUAAUAACA